UGCGCAGGCGGUUUUGUAAGACAGGCGUGAAAUCCCCGGGCUCAACCUGGGAAUGGCGUUUGUGACUGCAAGGCUAGAGUAUGGCAGAGGGGGGUAGAAUUCCACGUGUAGCAGUGAAAUGCGUAGAGAUGUGGAGGAAUACCGAUGGCGAAGGCAGCCCCCUGGGCCAAUACUGACGCUCAUGCACGAAAGCGUGGGGAGCAAACAGGAUUAGAUACCCUGGUAGUCCACGCCCUAAACGAUGUCAACUAGGUGUUCGGGUGGGUAAAACCAUUUAGUACCGGAGCUAACGCGUGAAGUUGACCGCCUGGGGAGUACGGCCGCAAGGUUAA
This 332-nucleotide ribosomal RNA is filed under the name uncultured bacterium. RNAcentral describes it as "bacterial SSU rRNA". It matches the Rfam family "Bacterial small subunit ribosomal RNA", at positions 568 to 897 of the family's 1533-position model. The record is from RNAcentral.